Sphaerobolus stellatus SS14 is the source of this 78-nucleotide transfer RNA. It matches the Rfam family "tRNA". Rfam says of the family: Transfer RNA (tRNA) molecules are approximately 80 nucleotides in length. Their secondary structure includes four short double-helical elements and three loops (D, anti-codon, and T loops). Further hydrogen bonds mediate the characteristic L-shaped molecular structure. tRNAs have two regions of fundamental functional importance: the anti-codon, which is responsible for specific mRNA codon recognition, and the 3' end, to which the tRNAs corresponding amino acid is attached (by aminoacyl-tRNA synthetases). tRNAs cope with the degeneracy of the genetic code in two manners: having more than one tRNA (with a specific anti-codon) for a particular amino acid; and 'wobble' base-pairing, i.e. permitting non-standard base-pairing at the 3rd anti-codon position. The record is from Rfam. Lineage: Eukaryota; Fungi; Basidiomycota; Agaricomycetes; Geastrales; Sphaerobolaceae.
ACACGCGUGGUGAAACGGUAUCAUGCUUGCCUUCCAAGAUGUUAGCAAGCGGCUCGGGUUCGACUCCCGGCGCGUGUA